UGCCAGGGAGGCAGCAGUAGGGAAUCUUCCACAAUGGGCGCAAGCCUGAUGGAGCAACGCCGCGUGAGUGAAGAAGGGUUUCGGCUCGUAAAGCUCUGUUGUUGGAGAAGAACGUGCGUGAGAGUAACUGUUCACGCAGUGACGGUAUCCAACCAGAAAGUCACGGCUAACUACGUGCCAGCAGCCGCGGUAAUACGUAGGUGGCAAGCGUUAUCCGGAUUUAUUGGGCGUAAAGCGAGCGCAGGCGGUUGCUUAGGUCUUAUGUGAAAGCCUUCGGCUUAACCGAAGAA
Molecule: ribosomal RNA, 290 nt
Filed under: uncultured bacterium
Lineage: Bacteria
Description: partial 16S ribosomal RNA
Rfam family: Bacterial small subunit ribosomal RNA
Source: RNAcentral